Felis catus (domestic cat) is the source of this 999-nucleotide long non-coding RNA. RefSeq lists it as uncharacterized. The record is from RefSeq and is a predicted model, not a curated record. The transcript has 2 exons. NCBI's taxonomy places the organism in Eukaryota, Metazoa, Chordata, Mammalia, Carnivora, Felidae.
CUUGGCCACCCUGAACCUGCUGAAAGCAGCUACUGGGAGGCCUGCGAACGCGAUUCCCACCACGCUGCUGCUUUUUAAGGCCAGAUUCUCCAGGGACUUCAUGGAGGGCCCGGUUUUUAAUUAGCACGCGUCUCCUUGUCAAUACACCUCAUUAACUGGUAAAACACACGGCCCGAAACACGUGAAAACAACUCACAAAACUGCAAAUACUUUCCCUCGACCGCCAGAUGAACUAACCCCUGACCUGUGUGCGGGGGGGCAAGACGUUUGUGUGAAACCCACCGUGUCCCCGGCACAGCCAGCCUCCAGCCCCACCCGGGCCAGGCCCUCGGGCUACAGAUGAGAACACCAGGCGAGGGGAGAGCGGCACCCAAGUCAGAAUAAAGCUGGAAUCCGGGAGUCACUUCCACCAGAAGACUGGUCGUCAGUCACGUUAAAUUUGUGUAAAAGCGAAUCAUGGAGUCACAAGCACCAUACCCACAGCGGAUCUUCUCCUAUGAAGGGCACAGAGCUUUACAUGCAAGGAUCCGGUAAUAUUUAGUUUGGAGUUCAGAGGCCACACGUUGUCCAUUUGUUCUGCCCAUUUUCUUGAAAUAACACCAGCUGCUCCCUGGAGCCCUGGUCACUGGCCGGAUGCCCAGUCCGGAGCCUGGCGAGGAAGUCUGCUGAGCCCCUCCACUUCCUCACUCCUGCCCUUCCUCGGCCCCCCAAAUGUGAGAGAGAGGCUCUUUCUAAGGCCCGGUCUUCAACGCCAAGAACACCAUCACGUGCAAACAGAACAGUCAAUGACCACAAAGAGCUGUGGGAUGUCCUCUCUCUAGGCUCAGCUACUUGUCACCAGCAGCGACGGCAAUGUGGUUCCAUCAAAAAAAUAGGCUGAAUAUCUACGCCGUGCCCAACCGUGUCUGUGGAACAUCCACAGACUGCAAGCAUUACGUUAGCUCGGCUCCCCCAAAAAGCAUUAAAUAUAAAAUAUCAAAUAAAUUCUCUUCUAAAACA